GCAGCAUUGCAGAAGGGAGGAGGUGGAGAUUCUGUCCUCAGUGCCUAGGGCCCUGCCUGGAUCUGGUUUUGCAGAGGGGAGGACGUAGAGAUUCUGUCCUCAGUGCCCAGGGCCCUGCCUGGAUCUGGUUUUGCAGAGGGGAGGACGUAGAGAUUCUGUCCUCAGCGCCCAGGGCCCUGCCUGGAUCUGGUUUUGCAGCUCCAGGGGAAACGUUUUGCACAAAUUCUCACUGGGAGCAUUAUCAGGGCUGCAGCACUUCAGUCUCUCCUGAUCUGAAUCCUUUUAACAUUAGCUGUGAUGCUGAGAAGGAUGAAAUUGAUGACACCAACAUCUGGUGGAAGACAAAAACCAGAGGGAUUUCCACCCAGGCAGAGCCCCUCCGCAGGCCUCCCCUCUUUGUGGCCUGAGGUCGGAGAGGCCUCUGGAGCAAGCCAGCGGAUGGAAUUCUCAGUUUUCUUCCAUUUGAUUAUUUUCCUAUUUUGACGUCUUUGAAAAAUGGCUCAGCCUUAUGGUGCAUGCGUUUUCUGAUUGCUUUUGUCUUUGUUUUAUUCUGAAUCAAGGACCGUGGCCACUGUGGGCUCCUCAUCCAGGACGUGGGGGCCCUCCGGGGCCUCAGUCCAUCCAUGCUGCAGUACAUGGUGAUUCUCAUGCAGAGGAUGAUCUCAGGGAUCAGCUUGAGCUGGCAGAGAAUUAAAUUAUAUGGUUUAUAAGAGUCCUGCCUCAGGGUCAGUGACACCAGGCCUGUCUCUGCUGCUAGCAAGGCCGACUUUCUUAUGUGCUGUCAUCGUGGUAAAAGCCUUGCCCACGUGAUGAAGACCCUGGACGGCUCUACUUGAGACAGAUUUCAGCUACGUUGCCUGGGAGUCUCUGGUACUUCUUCAAGGUUCUACUGAAGACAAUGACGUCAUCCAAGUACCUUGCAGUGCCUAAGUAGCUCUUGCCGCGGGAGCUCUGAGACCCCCUGUUAUCUAUUUUCGAAUUGGCCAAGGACCCCCGGCCAGGCAGGGGAUGCUCUGCCCAUCCUCGUCAGCCCUCGUGUCUUGUGAUCCUCCCCCAGCCUCCUGGCAAGCAUCCCUGUGCUUUCCGCGGGUGAGCGUGGCUGAGCUCAGUCUCGCUUACUACAACGGCAGGCACGAGGUCUGCGGAACUAAGAAGGCUCCUCUUUGCUCACUGGCCUUUCCUUUAAGUCCCUGGUCACUAACCUCUGGCAAGACAAUCCUUCUUGUGUUUUCUGGCGAUGGACUUGAGUGAUUACAAUGUGCCCUAGAGAGGACAGAUGCAUGGCUGUGGAGUCUUGUUCUGUGAUAUGUCAGGUAUGUGCUUGGGCGCGCGGAGGCUGCAGGAGGUGGACAGGAAUGGUCUUUCUCUUGCUCUGAGUCGCAUGUGUGGGCCAGCCCACGGGUUCUGUGGAGGAGAAUCCAGCUGCCCACCUGGCUGAGUCUAGCCCUGGGCUGGCGAUGGCCGAACCCCAGUUCCAUUCCCGGACCUUCCCUAGGCUGCUGGGUGGGUUCCCUGGCCACUGUCGCUGGGCUAAUCCAUUCUAUCUUCUCCUGGGGCGAGGCCAUUGCCGUGCUGUGCUGGUGCUGGCUCUUCAGGCAGCUCUUCAGCUCCGUGGCUCCCGGCCCAGCCCAGGCCUAACACAGGCCUGUCCCUAGUGUUCGUGCACUGAGCUUUGUGUCUAUUGCUGGUUUUUCUUUUCUUUUAAAACUUACUUCGCAGAAGGAAUUCGGCCUGAGCAGCUGAGCUUCCGUGGUAGCCUCUCCUGCUCAAAGCCGUCGUUUGCUCCCAUAUACCUGGCCUGCCAGUUUCCAUUCUCUCUUUCCCUUGUUUCAUCUUUUCUGCAGUAGGUCCUCUAGUUUCAACCACAGGUGUUUACAGUGUUGCAGUUUUAAUUUGUCGUUGUUGCAUUUAGUUUACUUGACGCACGUUCAAAACUGCAAAAUGCUGGUUCCUACCCGUCUCUGAUGUCACCAAAGGCUGCCCAGAGGCCUGCAGCACAUUGACGAUGGUCUUAGUAUUACACAGCUGUCUGACCAGUACCACAAAUCCAGAGUCCAAGCAGCUCAGGUUUGCCUUCUCCCUGUCUGUGUGGGUCCAGCGCCCUGGGCUCAGCAGGGCCUCCUGCUCCUGCUCCUGUAGGGUGGGCUGGGCCUUCCCACACGGGCCUGGGGAGGAGCCUCUCCUAGGUGCUGGCAGGGCCCUGGCCUUUACUUAUUCCCUCUGAUGCCAGCCAGCUACUGCAGCCCUGGUGGCGUCUCCCUGGGGGUGCCCGGGUGCAGGUGUCCGCUGCCGGGCCGUGGGUGUCUCAUUCUGUGUCCGGACCUCUCUGUGAUGUGAACCUUGGGCUUUUUUUUUUUUUUUUUUUUUUUUUCAGAUGUUAAGGGAGUCCACCACAUGUUUCCAUGGUAACGGCUCCUUUUCCUGGUUUACUGGAGGGUUCUGACGGUCAAGGCCUCCUGUGUAUUGACUGGGUUAUCGCCUGGGGGUUUUAUUGCUUUGUCUUUUACAUUUAGUUUUACUGUUCCUGGAACUGAAUUUGUUUGUGAUGUGAGUCAGAAAUCCUGUCACAUUUUUCCACGUGGAUAUCCAGGGCCCCCGCCGUUUGUGGGAAGGCCGCACCUUCUGCCCGCUCUGCUGUCCAUCCGCGUGCCCAUCUCCAUGGGUUUCUCUCUGCACGGCUUGUUCUGUCCUGCAUGUCCAUCCUUGAGAUCGUUUUUCUCUGGCUUAAUGAUUACAGCUGUACGGUGAGUCUACAGUUAUUCCAAGUUUAUUUAGACAAGAUUUUCUUAACCUUGUAAAUUAUUCUAGGGUUUUUUAUAUUAUUAUUAAACCCAUAGGACUCUUUGGUGAAAACUGACAUAGUUAAAAUGGUUGAGUCUUUCAGUUCAAUUAGGUCUUUCUUUUCUGUAAUAUUUUCUGGACUUCUCCAUUCAAGUCUCAUGCAUUUUUUUGUUAGGAGUGUUGCUAAGAUUUAACUUUUCUAACCCACUGUAAAAGUGUUACCAGGGGGUCCUUGCUCCCAGAACUCCUAAGAUGGUGGCAGGUCGCUUCCAAAAUGGCGGCGGCCCACUUCCAAGAUGGUGGCAAGCCUACUGUUCUCUGACCUGGGGUUCUUGGCCUCACGGAUUCCAAGGAAUGGAAUCUUGGGCCAUCCGGUGAGUGUUACAGCUCUAUUAGAAGCCGUGGGUCACGGAAGAGAACCAUGGAACCCAGUGACUAGUGUUCAGCUCAAUUAGGACGAACUGAGGCACUUAGCCAUGCAGAAACAAUGGCAAGACCUUAGCCUGAUCCAUCGGGAGUGGCAAUGGGCGCCUCGCUGGAUCAGGAGCACAGCGGACACCCUGCCGGCUCUGGAGAGAUGGAAGUCAGCGGCGGGUCUACGACGGCAGCAAACAGCAGUGGUGGAGGGCGAGCGAAAGCUCAGCUCCAGCCGUAACAAACACGGACCAGAAGAGUGCAGUUGCAAGAUUUAAUAGAGUGAAAUAGAGUGAAAACAGAGCUCCCAUACAAAGGAAGGGGACCCAAAGAGGGUAGCCAUUGCCAGCUCCAAUGCCUGGGUUUAUAUCCCAAUCACUGUCCCUCCCGCUGUGCUCUCAGGCAGUAGAUGAUUGGCUAUUUCUUUACCUCCUGUUUUUGCCUUAUUAGCAUUUUAGUGAGCUCUGUGAUUGGUCAGGUGUGAGCUAAGUUGCAAGCCUGGUGUUUAAAGGUGGAUGUGGUCACCUUCUCAGCUAGGCUUAGGGAUUCUUAGCCUAGGAAAUCCAGCUAGUCCUGUCUCUCAAAAGUAUCUUUUACAUUUUAUUUUCUAAUUGUUUAUUGCUUGUAUGUUAAAAUAAAGUGAAUAUUUAUGUUGAUUUUUAUUCAGCAUCUUGUUAAAAUUCAGUUGACUUUACAAAUUCAUUUUCAUACUUUAUUGUAUACUUUAUAUAUACAAUCAUGUGAUCUGUGUAUAAAGGUGGGUUUUUAUAUUUCUCUCCAAUUCUUACACAUUUUCUGUUGUUCCAGUUUCAUUUUCAUGGCUGGGAUCUGCAGGACGAGCUUACAUAUAGGUAAUGAUAAUGGACUUCCUUGCUUCAUUUUCCAUCUCAGGAUGGACAGUGUUCAACCUUCUAUGACUAAUUACAGCCAUGCUGUAGGCUUUUCAUAGAUACCCUUUUUUUUUGACUCAGGAAUUACAUUCUCUUCUUAUUCCUGGUUUGCUAAACCUUUUGUAUUAAUGGUGUCAACUAUGAAUAUAUAUUGCAUUUCAUCAAAUACUUUUUUUCUGCAUCAAUCAAUACGAUUUAUCUUUCUUCUGUUAAUAUGGUGAUUUACAUUAAUUUGUCUUAGAAUGUUCAUUUCUUUCAGGUCCUUGCUGAUUUUUUUGCCUGCCUUUUCCAUUAGUUCCUGAGACAAGCAUUUUAAAACCAAACAACAUAACUGAGGAGCUGUCUGUCACCCUUCGUGAUUCUGAAAACACGUGCUGCAUGUGUUUUGAGGUUGUUAUUUGGAGCAUGUGCAUUUACAAUUGUCUUACUGCCUUUGCAGUUUGAGUUUUUAUUAAAUGUUUCUCUUCAUCUCUGGUCAUGCUUUAUGCCGUAGAGUCUGUUAUUAGCAGAGCUACUCCAGGUUUAUUUUUCAUGAUAUUAUUUUCACUUCUUUUUACUUUCCAACUUUUAUAUCAUUAUGUUGAAGGUAUCUCUUUUGUUAAUCACAUAGUUGCAUUGUGUUUUCUUUUUUCAAAUAUGUAUGAGCAGCAUAAAAUUGGAUGUUCCUUUGAAACAACAGCAGUCAGAAGUCCAUGAGGAGGUGUCUUCUGACUGCGAGGAUAAGGGUGGAUCACCUUAAUGCAAUCAGGGAAUGAUGUGUUAGAAGCAUCUAUAGUUCCUGCUUCCCCUAAUUUCUAGCUGUAGCCAUUUGAAGAUUCUAAGCAAGUCCUCAACUGUUCAGCAGAGCCUCUGGUCCAGCAUGAGACCAAAACCCAGGCUCCCAGUUUCUCCGCCUGUGCUGAGACCUUGUUUCCCAGGACCUCGGUGGACUUGGCUUUCAUGACUGGUGCCUCACCCCAGCACAUGUGCCUAAAAUAACAGAAAAAUACAGUGCCUGCAUGUUGGGAGCAAGCCCCCCAAAGUCUGGCCCCAAAACUGGCCAUAAAUAAAAUCUCUGCAGCAAUGUAACAUGUCCAUAAUGGCCAUAAAGCCCAAGCUGGAAGGUUGUGGGUUUACAGGAAUGACGGUAAGGAACACCUGGCCCGCUCAGGGCGGAAAACUGGUUAAAGGCAUUUUUAAGCCAUAAACAAUUAGCCUGAGCGAUCUGUGCCUUAAGGGCGUGUUCCUGCUGCAAUUAAUUCAGCCCAUCCCUUCGUUUCCCUUAAGGGAUACUUUCAGUUAAUUUAAUAUCCAUAGAAACAAUGCUAAUGACUGGUUUGCUGUUAAUAAAUAUGUGGGUAAAUCUCUGUUCGGGGCUCUCAGCUCUGAAGGCUGUGAGACCCCUGAUAUCCCACUUUACACCUCUGUAU
This 5494-nucleotide long non-coding RNA is filed under the name Homo sapiens (human). Its description in RNAcentral is "HSALNT0025815". Lineage: Eukaryota; Metazoa; Chordata; Mammalia; Primates; Hominidae. The record is from RNAcentral.